RNAcentral lists this long non-coding RNA (836 nucleotides) under Anser cygnoides (Swan goose). RNAcentral describes it as "lncRNA (ENSACDG00005007371.1)". Lineage: Eukaryota; Metazoa; Chordata; Aves; Anseriformes; Anatidae. The record is from RNAcentral.
CCGGGGGCGGGGAGAGGGGCGGGGCUUUCCGCCGAAAGGGGGCGGGGCGCGCGGAGGAGGCGGGGCGAGCGCAGGGGAGGCUGGCGAGCAGAGAGUGCCCUUGUGUCGCCAGCCGGCGAGCGGCUGGGAGCGAGCAGCCGCCCCGCGCCGCCAGCGGGACGGGACGGGACAGCACGGCACGGGACAGCACGGCGCGGGGCGGGACAGGCCGGGCCGCAGGGACAGCCGGACCGACCCGCCGGUAGGGGCGAGGGGAGCCAGCGGGGGCAGCCGGCACCGCUCGGUGGAGGGAAGCAGCCCGGCGGCGGCAGAGCCGGCGGGGAGAGCUGCUCCCCCCACUUCCCUCCCCAAUCCACCCCCGCGACCCCGGCCCUCCUCCUCCUCCUCCUCCUCACCCCACUGGAUACAGCGAGGGAGACACUGCGGCGGCGGAGGCGGCGGCGGCGGCUCCUGCGGGGGGAAGGAAGCGCCCGGAGAGCGGAGCGGCGGGAGGCUGCGGAUCUGCGUGCCUGGCGCCCACCCAGCCCGAGGGGAGCCCCCAGGAUGCGGCUCAAGCCCGGCGCGCUCCUGCGCUUCUACAGCCUCUGCGGGAUCCUCAUGCAAGGUGAGUAACUGAAGGUUAACAGAAUGCCUGGUUGUCAAGUAUGCUUAAUGCUUUUCUAUAGUACAUUGUGGUGUCCAAAGUGCUCUCAUUACCUGGAUUACAGAGUCAUAAAAUCACCACACUCUUACCUGUGGUCCUGUCAAAGUGAAACAAAAGGAACAGAAAGAAGACUACAUCUCUUUUAUAAGUACGUGUAUAAUAAAAACACUGCAAAAGAAAUAAAGAUUUCUCA